GAAGUGGGGAUGACGUCAAAUCAUCAUGCCCCUUAUGACCUGGGCUACACACGUGCUACAAUGGGCGGUACAAAGGGUCGCGAACCCGCGAGGGGGAGCCAAUCCCAAAAAGCCGCUCUCAGUUCGGAUUGCAGGCUGCAACUCGCCUGCAUGAAGCCGGAAUCGCUAGUAAUCGCGGAUCAGCAUGCCGCGGUCGAAUACGUUCCCGGGCCUU
This 214-nucleotide ribosomal RNA is filed under the name uncultured Anoxybacillus sp. Its description in RNAcentral is "partial 16S ribosomal RNA". It matches the Rfam family "Bacterial small subunit ribosomal RNA", at positions 1170 to 1382 of the family's 1533-position model. Lineage: Bacteria; Bacillati; Bacillota; Bacilli; Caryophanales; Anoxybacillaceae. The record is from RNAcentral.